Molecule: non-coding RNA, 99 nt
Organism: Acanthosepion pharaonis
Lineage: Eukaryota; Metazoa; Mollusca; Cephalopoda; Sepiida; Sepiidae
Source: the annotation of a GenBank genome assembly
CAUUAAAACACCAGUUCCCGUAUGAUCACCAAAGUUAAGCAUGUUGAGCCUGAUCAGUACUUAGAUGGGUGACCACUUAGGAAUACCAAGUGGUGUAAG